GUUUGGUUCAGUGGCGCACGGGUGAGUAACACGUGAAUUACAUGCCCUUCAGUGGGGAAUAGCCCAGGGAAACUUGGAUUAAUACCCCAUGGUAUCGCAAGAUUAAAGGUGGCCGCAAGGCUGUCGCUGAAGGAUUGGUUCGCGCCCUAUCAGCUUGUUGGUGAGGUAACGGCUCACCAAGGCUACGACGGGUACCUGGUCUGAGAGGACGAUCAGGCACACUGGAACUGAGACACGGUCCAGACACCUACGGGUGGCAGCAGUCGAGAAUAAUUCACAAUGGGGGCAACCCUGAUGGUGCAACGCCGCGUGGAGGAUGAAGGUCUUCGGAUUGUAAACUCCUGUCAUCCGGGAGUAAGACCUGGCUGUGAAUAGCAGACAGGGUUGAUAGUACCGGAAGAGGAAGG
RNAcentral lists this ribosomal RNA (407 nucleotides) under Luteolibacter sp. RNAcentral's name for it is "bacterial SSU rRNA". It matches the Rfam family "Bacterial small subunit ribosomal RNA", at positions 85 to 491 of the family's 1533-position model. Lineage: Bacteria; Pseudomonadati; Verrucomicrobiota; Verrucomicrobiia; Verrucomicrobiales; Verrucomicrobiaceae. The record is from RNAcentral.